This 402-nucleotide ribosomal RNA is filed under the name bacterium. RNAcentral describes it as "partial 16S ribosomal RNA". It matches the Rfam family "Bacterial small subunit ribosomal RNA", at positions 355 to 776 of the family's 1533-position model. The record is from RNAcentral.
UGGGGAAUUUUGCACAAUGGGGGAAACCCUGAUGCAGCGACGCCGCGUGAUUUAGAAGGCCUUCGGGUUGUAAAAAUUUUUUCUAUGGGAAGAAAAUGACAGUACCAUAGGAAUAAGGACCGGCUAAUUACGUGCCAGCAGCCGCGGUAAUACGUAAGGUCCGAGCGUUGUCCGGAAUCAUUGGGCGUAAAGGGUACGUAGGCGGGUAAGCAAGUUAGAAGUGAAAUCCUAUAGCUCAACUAUAGUAAGCUUUUAAAACUGCUCAUCUUGAGGUAUGGAAGUGAAAGUGGAAUUCCUAGUGUAGCGGUGAAAUGCGCAGAUAUUAGGAGGAAUACCGGUGGCGAAGGCGACUUUCUGGCCAUAACCUGACGCUGAGGUACGAAAGCGUGGGUAGCAAACAGG